AUGACUGAGGGGGGGGAGGGGACAUUGGGGACAUCAGGGGACAUCAGGGACAGGAGGGGACAUCAGGGGACAGGAGGGGACAUCAGGGGACAUCCAGGACUCACCGGCACUGAGCAGGACAUGGGCGGCGGUGGCAGCCUGAGGGGACAGGAGGGGACAAGGUCAGCACGAGGGUCCCCAACGUCCCCAAUGUCCCCAAGGUGUCCCCAAGGUGUCCCCAAUGUCCCCGAUGUCCCCCAUGUCCCCAAUGUCCCCAUGGUGUCCCCAAGGUGUCCCCAAUGUCCCCAAUGUCCCCAAUGUCCCCAAGGUGUCCACAAGGUGUCCCCAAUGUCCCCAAGGUGUCCCCAAAGUGUCCUCAAUGUCCCCAAUGUCUCCAAUGACCCCAAUGUCCCCAAGGUGUCCACAAGGUGUCCCCAAUGUCCCCAAGGUGUCCCCAAAGUGUCCUCAAUGUCCCCAAUGUCUCCAAUGACCCCAAUGUCCCCAAGGUGUCCCCAAUGUCCCCAAGGUGUCCCCAAUGUCCUCAAUGUCCCCAUGGUGUCUCCAUGGUGUCUCCAAGGUGUCCCCAAAGUGUCCCCAUGGUGUCCCCAUGGUGUCCCCAGUGUCCCCAGGGUGUCCCCAAGGUGUCUCAAUGUCCUCAAUGUCCCCAAGGUGUCCCCAAGGUGUUCCCAAGGUGUCCCCAAAGUGUCUCCAAUGUCCCCAAGGUGUCCCCAGGGUGUCCCCAAGGUGUCCCAAAUGUCCAUGGGGAUGGACAGGUGGACAUGGGAUGGACAGAUGGAUGGACAUGGAGAUGGACAGAUGGACAUGGGAUGGACAGAUGGACACGGGGAUGGACAGAUGGACACGGGGAUGGACAGAUGGACACCUGGGAGGGUGGACAGACACGGACGGACACACGGACACCUGGGCAGGUGGACGAGCGGACACGAGGACAAACAGACACCAGGACAGACGGACACCGGGACAAACGGACACCGGGACAGAUGGACACCAGGACAAACAGACACCGGGACAAAGGGACACCGGGACAAAUGGACACCGGGACAAAGGGACAGAUGGACAGACAGACACCAGGACAAAUGGACACCGGGACAGACAGACACCGGGACAAAGGGACACCGGGACAGACAGACAUCGGGACAGACGGACACCGGGAUAAACGGACAGACAGAUAGAUGGACACCCGGACAAACAGACACCGGGACAAAUGGACACCGGGACAAACGGACAGACGGACAGACAGACACCAGGACAGACGGACAGACAGACGGACAGACGGACAGACAGACGGACAGAUGGACAGACCGACAGACGGACAGACGGACAGACCGCCCCCCCCCUCCCCGUGCCCACCUUCACCGGGGGCCGCCCCCGGAGCGUCCCCAGGGCGGCGGCGGCGGCUCCGAGCGCGGCGGCGGCGGCGAGAGCGGCGAGAGCGGCCACGGCCGCGGCCAGGCGGCGGCACCGGGAGCGCGCCCGGCCCGGACCCCGCGGCCACGGCCGGUCCCGGUUCUGGUUCUGGUUCCGCUCCAAGUCCCGGUUCUGAUCCCCGUACUGGUUCCGCUCCAAGUCCCGGUCCCGGUCCCGCUUCUGGUCCCGGUUCUGGCCCCAGUUCCGUUCCCCGUCCCGGUUUUGCUUUUGCUCCCAGUUCUUCUCCCGGUUCUGGUCCCAGUUCUGGCCCCGGUUCAUGGCUCUGUUCUGGUCCCAGUCCCGGUUCCGGUCCCGGUUCUGGUUCUGGUGUGCGUUCCGGUCCCAGUUCCGGUCCCAGUUCUGGUCCUGGCUCAUGUCCCGGUCCCGGUCCCGGUUCCGGUCCCAGUUCUGGUUCUGGUGCCCGUUCUGGUCCUGGCUCAUGUCCCGGUUCCGGUCCCAGUCCCCGUCCCGGUCCCGGUUCUGCUCCCAAUUCUGGUGCGGGUUCUGCUCCCGGUUCUGGUGCCCAUUCUGGUCCUGGCUCAUGUCCCGGUUCCGGUCCCAAUUUUGGUCCCGGUUCCGGUCCCAGUUCUGGUUCUGGUGCCCGUUCUGGUCCCGGUUCUGGUGCCCGUUCUGGUCCCGGUUCCAGUUCUGGUUCUGGUGCCCGUUCUGGUCCUGGAUCAUGUCCCGGUCCCAGUCCCGGUCCCGGUUCUGGUGCCCGUUCUGGUCCCGGUUCUGCUCCCAGUUCUGGUGCCAGUUCGGGUCCCAGUUCGGGUCCCGGUCCCGGUUCUUGUCCCGGUCCUGGUCCCGCUCCCGGUUCUUGUCCCGGUCCUGGUCCCGGUCCUGGUCCCGGUUCUGCUCCCAGUUCUGGUGCCCGUUCUGGUCCUGUCUCAUGUCCCAGUCCUGGUUCUUGUCCCGGCCCUGGUCCCGGUCCCGGUCCUGGUUCCGGUUCUGGUCCCGGUCCCGGUUCUGGCUCAUGUCCCGGCCCGGGCAGAGGCAGCGGCAGCUCCGCGGGGCCGCCGCGCGAGUCUCGGGGUCGGCGAGCGGCGACAUCGGCGACAGCGGAGCGGGACCGGAUUUUAA
Molecule: long non-coding RNA, 2487 nt
Filed under: Taeniopygia guttata (zebra finch)
Lineage: Eukaryota; Metazoa; Chordata; Aves; Passeriformes; Estrildidae
Description: lncRNA (ENSTGUG00000028889.1)
Source: RNAcentral